AUUGAACGCUGGCGGCAUGCCUUACACAUGCAAGUCGAACGGCAGCACGGGAGCAAUCCUGGUGGCGAGUGGCGAACGGGUGAGUAAUAUAUCGGAACGUGCCCAGUCGUGGGGAUAACGUAGCGAAAGCUACGCUAAUACCGCAUACGAUCUAUGGAUGAAAGCGGGGGAUCGCAAGACCUCGCGCGAUUGGAGCGGCCGAUAUCAGAUUAGGUAGUUGGUGAGGUAAAGGCUCACCAAGCUGACGAUCUGUAGCUGGUCUGAGAGGACGACCAGCCACACUGGGACUGAGACACGGCCCAGACUCCUACGGGAGGCAGCAGUGGGGAAUAUUGGACAAUGGGCGAAAGACCUGAUCCAGCAAUGCCGCCGUGAGUGAUGAAGGCCUCGGUGGUUAAAGGUACGUAC
This 408-nucleotide ribosomal RNA is filed under the name uncultured bacterium. Its description in RNAcentral is "bacterial SSU rRNA". It matches the Rfam family "Bacterial small subunit ribosomal RNA", at positions 30 to 437 of the family's 1533-position model. The record is from RNAcentral.